This 194-nucleotide small nuclear RNA is filed under the name Blastocystis sp. ATCC 50177/Nand II. Its description in RNAcentral is "U2". It matches the Rfam family "U2 spliceosomal RNA". Rfam says of the family: U2 is a small nuclear RNA (snRNA) component of the spliceosome (involved in pre-mRNA splicing). The record is from RNAcentral. Lineage: Eukaryota; Bigyra; Opalinata; Blastocystidae.
UACCUUCUCAGCCGUUGGCUAAGAUCAAGUGUAGUAUCUGUUCUUUUCAGUGUGAAAACUGAAAAUGUACCCACUGGGUACAUCUUUUUCACCUGUAUUUUUCCCUUGGGCAGGUGGAGUUCCUAGUUUACUAGGAUACACUCGCAUGAGUGUCCUUUGCAUUGCACUACAGCAUUGUGACGCUCACCGCCCUC